This is a long non-coding RNA of Alosa sapidissima (American shad), 744 nucleotides long. RefSeq lists it as uncharacterized. The record is from RefSeq and is a predicted model, not a curated record. NCBI's taxonomy places the organism in Eukaryota, Metazoa, Chordata, Actinopteri, Clupeiformes, Clupeidae. The transcript is spliced from 2 exons.
GAAUGUGGUGUGAUACUAGUUGGUGCUGAAGACUAGUGAUAGUAAUGAUAUUCCCUACACCACCCUAGGUACAAAAACAGACAAAAGUCAAAAUAAAACCUUUGACCUCAGAUCAAACGUGAAAAAAAAAAAGUAAUUAUAGGAACUAGUUUUUGCAUAAAUUCCACAAACUUACAGAGCGUAUCAGUCUGCACAGAAGACUGUAAAAAGUAUGUAUAGUGAUACUCUGGUACAAACAUAGGAAGUCAAAACAAAAUACUCUGCCAGAUAUCAGAAGUGGGAAUAAAAACUACCAUUACAGGAACCAGUGAAGCAUUAUGUUAUACCAAUUUGUUUAGAAGAUUAUAGAGUAAGAUACUCUGGUACACAACAACAAAGUCACAACAAACCAGUUAACCUGACCUACCCUGAAUCACAAAAGGCAUGCUAAAACAGCGAGCCUAAAAUGGCAUAGCUAUUCAUUAUUUACUAAAGCUGAAAUAUUUCUUAUUUCGCUUCAGGAGGAGCUGGUUCUCAAAUUUUUUUGCAUCCAGCCUUGCCCGCCGUGGACUAAAAAUCAGCCCAGCUGUGCUAAAUAGGCGCUCACAAGCGGCUGAAGCUGAUGUCUUCAUGCUUGCAAAGAAGUCCUCAUCAUCUGAUGCACUGGAGCCAUUAGCUGGCAAUUGAUGUGAAGGGUCUUCCUCCAGAUGGUCCUUAAUGUAGUCCAGGCCUGAAAUGGACAUUUAAAUAAAUGCUAAAAAUCAA